Molecule: non-coding RNA, 45 nt
Filed under: Schistosoma margrebowiei
Lineage: Eukaryota; Metazoa; Platyhelminthes; Trematoda; Strigeidida; Schistosomatidae
Source: RNAcentral
AUCCAGCUGACGAGUUCCAAGUAGGACGAAACGCGUGUCCUUGAU